RNAcentral lists this ribosomal RNA (332 nucleotides) under uncultured eukaryote. Its description in RNAcentral is "partial 18S ribosomal RNA". It matches the Rfam family "Eukaryotic small subunit ribosomal RNA", at positions 1470 to 1796 of the family's 1831-position model. The record is from RNAcentral.
CCCUUAGAUGUUCUGGGCCGCACGCGCGCUACACUGUCGGAUUCAGCGAGUCUUAACCUUAACCGAAAGGUUUGGGUAAUCUUUUGAAAGUCCGACGUGAUGGGGAUUGAUCAUUGCAAUUAUUGAUCAUGAACGAGGAAUUCCUAGUAAGCGCGAGUCAUCAGCUCGUGUUGAUUACGUCCCUGCCCUUUGUACACACCGCCCGUCGCUACUACCGAUUGAAUGGUUUAGUGAGACCCUCGGAUUCGUCCCAGCAGGGUGGGUCACCACCUUAUUGGUGUGCGGAGAAGACGGUCGAACUUGAUCAUUUAGAGGAAGUAAAAGUCGUAACA